GACGAACGCUGGCGGCGUGCUUAAUACAUGCAAGUCGAGCGCUGAAGGCUGGUACUUGUACCAACUGGAUGAGCCGCGCACGGGUGAGUAACGCGUGGGGAAUCUGCCUUUGAGCGGGGGACAACAUUGGGAAACGAACGCUUAUCCCGCAUAAAAACCUGAUACAUAAGUUUUAUGUUAGAAAGAUGCAAUUGCAUCACGCACUGACGAUCCCUCGUUGUAUUAGCUAGUUGGUGAGGUAAAGGCUCACCAAGGCGGUGAUACAGAGACGACCUGAGCGGGUGGUCGGCCACACUGAGACUGUGACACGGCCCAAACGGCUACGGGAGGCAGCAGUAGGGAAUCUUCGGCCAUCGGCGAAAGUCUGACCGAGCAACGCCGCGUGCGUGUACAGGGUUUUCGGGUCGGGAAUCUCUGUUGGUAGGGAAGAACGUUGGUGAGAGUGGAAAGCACAGCAAGUGACGGUAACUACUCAGAAAGGGACGGCUAACUACGUG
RNAcentral lists this ribosomal RNA (497 nucleotides) under uncultured bacterium. Its description in RNAcentral is "partial 16S ribosomal RNA". It matches the Rfam family "Bacterial small subunit ribosomal RNA", at positions 28 to 507 of the family's 1533-position model. The record is from RNAcentral.